CAGUGUGUGGUGAAGUGGCUUAACACGGACGACUGUGGAUCGUUCAUUCGCAGGUUCGAAUCCUGUCAUGCUGAUAA
This 77-nucleotide transfer RNA is filed under the name Bacillus phage BM15. RNAcentral's name for it is "tRNA-His". It matches the Rfam family "tRNA". Rfam says of the family: Transfer RNA (tRNA) molecules are approximately 80 nucleotides in length. Their secondary structure includes four short double-helical elements and three loops (D, anti-codon, and T loops). Further hydrogen bonds mediate the characteristic L-shaped molecular structure. tRNAs have two regions of fundamental functional importance: the anti-codon, which is responsible for specific mRNA codon recognition, and the 3' end, to which the tRNAs corresponding amino acid is attached (by aminoacyl-tRNA synthetases). tRNAs cope with the degeneracy of the genetic code in two manners: having more than one tRNA (with a specific anti-codon) for a particular amino acid; and 'wobble' base-pairing, i.e. permitting non-standard base-pairing at the 3rd anti-codon position. Lineage: Duplodnaviria; Heunggongvirae; Uroviricota; Caudoviricetes; Herelleviridae. The record is from RNAcentral.